RNAcentral lists this ribosomal RNA (348 nucleotides) under uncultured Helicobacter sp. RNAcentral's name for it is "bacterial SSU rRNA". It matches the Rfam family "Bacterial small subunit ribosomal RNA", at positions 85 to 450 of the family's 1533-position model. Lineage: Bacteria; Pseudomonadati; Campylobacterota; Epsilonproteobacteria; Campylobacterales; Helicobacteraceae. The record is from RNAcentral.
AAGUGGAUUAGUGGCGCACGGGUGAGUAACGCAUAGGUUAUGUGCCCCAUAGUCUGGGAUAGCCACUGGAAACGGUGAUUAAUACUGGAUACUCCCUACGGGGGAAAGUUUUUCGCUAUGGGAUCAGCCUAUGUCCUAUCAGCUUGUUGGUGAGGUAAUGGCUCACCAAGGCUAUGACGGGUAUCCGGCCUGAGAGGGUGAUCGGACACACUGGAACUGAGACACGGUCCAGACUCCUACGGGAGGCAGCAGUAGGGAAUAUUGCUCAAUGGGCGAAAGCCUGAAGCAGCAACGCCGCGUGGAGGAUGAAGGUUUUAGGAUUGUAAACUCCUUUUCUAAGAGAAGAUA